Molecule: ribosomal RNA, 468 nt
Filed under: uncultured bacterium
Lineage: Bacteria
Description: partial 16S ribosomal RNA
Rfam family: Bacterial small subunit ribosomal RNA
Source: RNAcentral
GACGAACGCUGGCGGCGUGCUUAACACAUGCAAGUCGAACGGAAAGGCCCUGCUUUUGUGGGGUGCUCGAGUGGCGAACGGGUGAGUAACACGUGAGUAACCUGCCCUUGACUUUGGGAUAACUUCAGGAAACUGGGGCUAAUACCGGAUAGGAGCUCCUGCUGCAUGGUGGGGGUUGGAAAGUUUCGGCGGUUGGGGAUGGACUCGCGGCUUAUCAGCUUGUUGGUGGGGUAGUGGCUUACCAAGGCUUUGACGGGUAGCCGGCCUGAGAGGGUGACCGGCCACAUUGGGACUGAGAUACGGACCAGACUCCUACGGGAGGCAGCAGUGGGGAAUAUUGCACAAUGGGCGGACGCGUGAUGCAGCAACGCCGCGUGCGGGAUGACGGCCUUCGGGUUGUAAACCGCUUUCGCCUGUGACGAAGCGUGAGUGACGGUAAUGGGUAAAGAAGCACCGGCUAACUACGUG